RNAcentral lists this unclassified non-coding RNA (332 nucleotides) under soil metagenome. Its description in RNAcentral is "partial contains 5.8S ribosomal RNA, internal transcribed spacer 2, and large subunit ribosomal RNA". The stretch from base 1 to 120 matches the Rfam family "5.8S ribosomal RNA", at positions 35 to 154 of the family's 154-position model. The record is from RNAcentral.
GAUGAAGAACGUAGCGAAAUGCGCUAAGUAAUGUGAAUUGCAGAAUUCAGUGAAUCAUCGAAUCUUUGAACGCACAUUGCGCCCGCCAGUAUUCUGGCGGGCAUGCCUGUCCGAGCGUCAUUUCAACCAUCAAGCCCCGGGCUUGUGUUGGGGACCUGCGUCCGACGCAGGCCCUGAAAACCAGUGGCGGGCUCGCUGUCCACACCGAGCGUAGUAACUAACCUCGCUAUGGAGUGGCGCGGGCGCCUGCCGUAAAACCCCCAAUUUCACAAGGUUGACCUCGGAUCAGGUAGGAAUACCCGCUGAACUUAAGCAUAUCAAUAAGCGGAGGA